This 496-nucleotide ribosomal RNA is filed under the name uncultured bacterium. RNAcentral's name for it is "partial 16S ribosomal RNA". It matches the Rfam family "Bacterial small subunit ribosomal RNA", at positions 28 to 506 of the family's 1533-position model. The record is from RNAcentral.
GAUGAACUCUGGCGGCGUGCCUAAUACUUGCAAGUCGAGCGAACGGACGAGAAGCUGGCUCCACUGAUGUUAUCGGCGGACGGGUGAGGAACACGUGAAGAACCUCCCUCUAAGACUGAGAUAACUACGGGAAACCAGAGCUAAUACCGGAUAAUCUAUUGAACAGCAUGGUUCCAAAGAGCAAGACGUUAUUGCUGUCCAUUAUAGAUGGAUCCGCGCUGCAUUAGCUAGUUGGUAAGGUAACGGCUUACCAAGGCAACGAAGUAUAGCCCACCUGAGCGGGGGAUCGGCCACACUGGAACUGAGCCACGGUCCAGCCUCCUACGGGAGGCAGCAGUAGGGAAUCUUCCGCAAUGGGCGAAAGCCUGACGGAGCAACGCCGCGUGAGUGAUGAAGGUCUUCGGAUCGUAAAACUCUGUUAUUAGGGAAGAAAAUAAGUGUAAGUAACAGUGCACAUCCUGACGGUACCUCAUAAGAAAGCCCCGGCUAACCACUU